This 445-nucleotide ribosomal RNA is filed under the name uncultured bacterium. Its description in RNAcentral is "partial 16S ribosomal RNA". It matches the Rfam family "Bacterial small subunit ribosomal RNA", at positions 354 to 796 of the family's 1533-position model. The record is from RNAcentral.
GUAAGGAAUAUUGGUCAAUGGACGAAAGUCUGAACCAGCCAUGCCGCGUGGAGGAUGAAGGUCCUCUGGAUUGUAAACUUCUUUUAUAUGGGACGAAAAUGGGGCUUUCUAGCUCAACUGACGGUACCAUAUGAAUAAGCACCGGCUAACUCCGUGCCAGCAGCCGCGGUAAUACGGAGGGUGCAAGCGUUAUCCGGAUUCACUGGGUUUAAAGGGUGCGUAGGUGGAUUGGUAAGUCAGAGGUGAAAUCUCCGGGCUCAACUCGGAAACUGCCUUUGAUACUAUCAAUCUUGAAUAUUGUGGAGGUUAGCGGAAUAUGUCAUGUAGCGGUGAAAUGCUUAGAUAUGACAUAGAACACCAACUGCGAAGGCAGCUGGCUACACAUAUAUUGACACUGAGGCACGAAAGCGUGGGGAUCAAACAGGAUUAGAUACCCGUGUAGUCC